UACGGAGGGUGCGCGCGUUAACCGGAAUAACUGGGCGUAAAGCGCGCGUAGGCGGUUUGUUAAGUGGGAUGUGAAAUCCCCGGGCUCAACCUGGGAAUGGCAUUCGAUACUGGCCGACUAGGGUACGAGAGAGGGAGGUAGAAUUCCACGUGUACCGGUGAAAUGCGUAGAUAUGUGGAGGAAUACCGGUGGCGAAGGCGGCCUCCUGGCUCGAUACUGACGCUGAGGUGCGAAAGCGUGGGUAGCAAACAGG
Molecule: ribosomal RNA, 253 nt
Filed under: uncultured bacterium
Lineage: Bacteria
Description: partial 16S ribosomal RNA
Rfam family: Bacterial small subunit ribosomal RNA
Source: RNAcentral